RNAcentral lists this ribosomal RNA (467 nucleotides) under uncultured bacterium. Its description in RNAcentral is "partial 16S ribosomal RNA". It matches the Rfam family "Bacterial small subunit ribosomal RNA", at positions 28 to 507 of the family's 1533-position model. The record is from RNAcentral.
GACGAACGCUGGCGGCGUGCUUAACACAUGCAAGUCGAACGGAAAGGCCUCUUUCGGGGGGUACUCGAGUGGCGAACGGGUGAGUAACACGUGAGUAACCUGCCCUUGACUUUGGGAUAACUUCAGGAAACUGGGGCUAAUACCGGAUAGGAGCUCCUGCUGCAUGGUGGGGGUUGGAAAGUUUCGGCGGUUGGGGAUGGACUCGCGGCUUAUCAGCUUGUUGGUGGGGUAGUGGCUUACCAAGGCUUUGACGGGUAGCCGGCCUGGGAGGGUUACCGGCCACAUUGGGACUGAGAUACGGCCCAGACUCCUACGGGAGGCAGCAGUGGGGAAUAUUGCACAAUGGGUGGGAGCCUGAUGCAGCAACGCCGUGUGCGGGAUGACGGCCUUCGGGUUGUAAACCGCUUUCGCUCAUGACGAAGCUUUGUGUGACGGUAGUGGGUAAAGAAGCACCGGCUAACUACGUG